This 419-nucleotide ribosomal RNA is filed under the name uncultured eukaryote. RNAcentral's name for it is "SSU rRNA". It matches the Rfam family "Eukaryotic small subunit ribosomal RNA", at positions 592 to 1018 of the family's 1831-position model. The record is from RNAcentral.
CAAUAGCGUAUAUUAAAGUUGUUGCGGUUAAAAGCUCGUAGUUGGAUUUCUGUGGUGGGCAGCCGGUCCACACUAUGUGUGAGCAUCGGUUCGGCCACUGCAUCCUCCUGAGGACCGUGGUGCGCUUCAUUGCGUGGUGCGGAAUUCAGGACUUUUACUUUGAGGAAAUUAGAGUGUUCACGGCAGGCGCUUGCCCUGAAUAUAUUAGCAUGGAAUAAUAAUAUAGGGCGAUAGUUCUAUUUUGUUGGUUUCUAGAGCUGUCGCAAUGAUUAAUAGGGAUAGUUGGGGGCAUUCGUAUUAUGAAGUCAGAGGUGGAAUUCUUGGAUUUUCAUACGACGAACUACUGCGAAAGCAUUUGCCAAGGAUGUUUUCAUUGAUCAAGAACGAAAGUAAGGGGAUCGAAGAUGAUCAGAUACCGU